This 381-nucleotide ribosomal RNA is filed under the name uncultured eukaryote. RNAcentral describes it as "partial 18S ribosomal RNA". It matches the Rfam family "Eukaryotic small subunit ribosomal RNA", at positions 592 to 976 of the family's 1831-position model. The record is from RNAcentral.
CAAUAGCGUAUAUUAAAGUUGUUGCGGUAAAAAAGCUCGUAGUUGGAUUUCUACCGAAGAUAGCCGGUCGGGUCUUCGACCUUGUAUCUGGUUUUAUCUUUGGUAUCCUCAUAGGGAACGUUUCUGCGCUUUAUUGCGUGGUGCGGUAUCUAUGACUUUUACUUUGAGGAAAUUAGAGUGUUCACGGCAGGCAAACGCCUUGAAUAUAUUAGCAUGGAAUAAUAACAUAGGAUCUUCGUCCUAUUUUGUUGGUUUCUAGGGCUAAGAUAAUGAUUAAUAGGGAUAAUUGGGGGCAUCUGUAUCAACGCGUCAGAGGUGGAAUUCUUGGAUUGCGUUGCGACAAACUACUGCGAAAGCAUUUGCCAAGGAUGUUUUCAUUGA